RNAcentral lists this ribosomal RNA (918 nucleotides) under uncultured bacterium. Its description in RNAcentral is "bacterial SSU rRNA". It matches the Rfam family "Bacterial small subunit ribosomal RNA", at positions 8 to 921 of the family's 1533-position model. The record is from RNAcentral.
AGAGUUUGAUCCUGGCUCAGGAUGAACGCUAGCGAUAGGCCUAACACAUGCAAGUCGAGGGGCAGCAUAGGGUAGCAAUACUUUGAUGGCGACCGGCGCACGGGUGAGUAACGCGUAUGCAACCUACCUAUAACAGGGGAAUAACCCGGAGAAAUUCGGACUAAUACCGCAUAAAACAGGGGCUCCGCAUGGAGAUAUUUGUUAAAGAUUUAUCGGUUAUAGAUGGGCAUGCGUUCCAUUAGCCAGUUGGUGAGGUAACGGCUCACCAAAGCAACGAUGGAUAGGGGAACUGAGAGGUUUGUCCCCCACACUGGAACUGAGACACGGACCAGACUCCUACGGGAGGCAGCAGUGAGGAACAUUGGUCAAUGGGCGAGAGCCUGAACCAGCCAAAUCGCGUGAAGGAAGACUGCCUUAUGGGUUGUAAACUUCUUUUAUACAGGAAUAAAAAGAGUUACGUGUAACUUAUUGCAUGUACUGUAUGAAUAAGCAUCGGCUAACUCCGUGCCAGCAGCCGCGGUAAUACGGAGGAUGCGAGCGUUAUCCGGAUUUAUUGGGUUUAAAGGGUGCGCAGGCGGGAACUUAAGUCAGCGGUGAAAUCUCGACGCUUAACGUCGGAACUGCCGUUGAAACUGGGUUUCUUGAGUAUAGAUGAAGUAGGCGGAAUUCGUUGUGUAGCGGUGACAUGCUUAGAUAUAACGAGGAACUCCGAUUGCGUAGGCAGCUUACUAAGCUAUAACUGACGCUCAAGCACGAAAGCGUGGGGAUCAAACAGGAUUAGAUACCCUGGUAGUCCACGCCGUAAACGAUGAUUACUAGUUGUAUGCGAUAUACGGUAUGUGACUAAGCGAAAGCGAUAAGUAAUCCACCUGGGGAGUACGCCGGCAACGGUGAAACUCAAAUGAAUUGACGGAAGGG